AAGUCGAACGGAGCUUAGAGAGCUUGCUUUUUAAGCUUAGUGGCGAACGGGUGAGUAACGCGUGAGUAACCUGCCCUAGAGUGGGGGACAACAGUUGGAAACGACUGCUAAUACCGCAUAAGCCCACGGUGCCGCAUGACACUGAGGGAAAAGGAUUUAUUCGCUUUAGGAUGGACUCGCGUCCAAUUAGCUAGUUGGUGAGGUAACGGCCCACCAAGGCGACGAUUGGUAGCCGGCCUGAGAGGGUGAACGGCCACAUUGGGACUGAGACACGGCCCAAACUCC
This 285-nucleotide ribosomal RNA is filed under the name uncultured Subdoligranulum sp. RNAcentral's name for it is "partial 16S ribosomal RNA". It matches the Rfam family "Bacterial small subunit ribosomal RNA", at positions 59 to 339 of the family's 1533-position model. Lineage: Bacteria; Bacillati; Bacillota; Clostridia; Eubacteriales; Oscillospiraceae. The record is from RNAcentral.